This 373-nucleotide ribosomal RNA is filed under the name uncultured organism. Its description in RNAcentral is "partial 16S ribosomal RNA". It matches the Rfam family "Bacterial small subunit ribosomal RNA", at positions 527 to 896 of the family's 1533-position model. The record is from RNAcentral.
GUUGGUGGCAAGCGUUGUCCGGAAUUAUUGGGCGUAAAGCGCGCGCAGGCGGUCCUUUAAGUCUGAUGUGAAAGCCCACGGCUCAACCGUGGAGGGUCAUUGGAAACUGGGGGACUUGAGUACAGAAGAGGAAAGCGGAAUUCCAAGUGUAGCGGUGAAAUGCGUAGAGAUUUGGAGGAACACCAGUGGCGAAGGCGGCUUUCUGGUCUGUAACUGACGCUGAGGCGCGAAAGCGUGGGGAGCAAACAGGGAUUAGAUACCCUGGUAGUCCACGCCGUAAACGAUGAGUGCUAAGUGUUAGGGGGGUUUCCCGCCCCUCAGUGCUGCAGCUAACGCAUUAAGCACUCCGCCUGGGGAUACGGCCGCAAGGCUG